CGAAGAUGGCGGUCAGCGAGGAAACCAUUUUGAAUGUUUUGAUGAAUGAGACGAUGGUUCAACGUUAGCUGAUCUGGUUGGACUUGGGAUCCGGAACGAGCCGAAUGUUGCGGGAGCUAAUUCUACAUCGCAGCGCCCGCCGCAGCCAAUCUGAUUCCAUCAACAGCUUCACGUUGAAAUGCGGCGAGGAGAAUGAGUGCAAGGUCAAGAAGUUUCCAGUUCGUAAAACGCUUUGAAAUCCACGCGGAUGGUGCAGCUCUCAACCUUGGACAACCCAGUCUUCAUCGUAACAAACUGGUGUGGGAGUUGUGCCUGUGGGAGGUGUCUGUGAUAUAUUUUUGAUGGCGUUAAUGAGAAAGUAUCCAUUCAAUGAGAGCCAUUCGUAUAUUCUGUUUAUACGAGAUCUAAACGUAAAAACAUGGUAGUUCUGAUAUAGUGCAUGUAGGCGUUGGGACAUGCAUUAUCAUCGUACAGGGAACCACCGCGUUUGGAACAUCCGAUAUGCGUACACUCAGGCUUAAAAGUUCAGUAUCAAGGCUAUUUAUUUUAUUAUUUCUUAGUUCUAACUAAUAUAAGAAACAAGUGAUGAAUUCUGGGGACUUCCUCAAUGCAAAAGAUGUACUUAAUUAUCACCUGGUAUGGCGGGAGACCUAGUAUGCAUCAGCAGGUGUAAGUUAAGACUGCGUCUCUAAAAUAUCAUUUCAUACACA
Molecule: long non-coding RNA, 710 nt
Organism: Priapulus caudatus
Lineage: Eukaryota; Metazoa; Priapulida; Priapulimorpha; Priapulimorphida; Priapulidae
Exons: 3
Source: RefSeq, a predicted model, not a curated record